Molecule: small nuclear RNA, 24 nt
Filed under: Arabidopsis thaliana (thale cress)
Lineage: Eukaryota; Viridiplantae; Streptophyta; Magnoliopsida; Brassicales; Brassicaceae
Description: snRNA_00217
Source: RNAcentral
GUGGUUAGACACUUUCUAAAGAGA